RNAcentral lists this ribosomal RNA (422 nucleotides) under uncultured bacterium. RNAcentral's name for it is "bacterial SSU rRNA". It matches the Rfam family "Bacterial small subunit ribosomal RNA", at positions 794 to 1222 of the family's 1533-position model. The record is from RNAcentral.
UCCAUGCCGUAAACGAUGUCUACUAGCCGUUGGGGCCUUUGAGGCUUUAGUGGCGCAGCUAACGCGAUAAGUAGACCGCCUGGGGAGUACGGUCGCAAGACUAAAACUCAAAUGAAUUGACGGGGGCCCGCACAAGCGGUGGAGCAUGUGGUUUAAUUCGAUGCAACGCGAAGAACCUUACCUGGUCUUGACAUAGUAAGAACUUUCCAGAGAUGGAUUGGUGCCUUCGGGAACUUACAUACAGGUGCUGCAUGGCUGUCGUCAGCUCGUGUCGUGAGAUGUUGGGUUAAGUCCCGCAACGAGCGCAACCCUUUUCCUAUUUGCCAGCACUUCGGGUGGAACUUUAAGGAUACUGCCAGUGACAAACUGGAGAAGCGGGGACACGUCAAGUCAUCAUGGCCCUUAGACCAGGGCUACACACG